RNAcentral lists this ribosomal RNA (538 nucleotides) under Salmonella enterica. RNAcentral describes it as "bacterial SSU rRNA". It matches the Rfam family "Bacterial small subunit ribosomal RNA", at positions 229 to 759 of the family's 1533-position model. Lineage: Bacteria; Pseudomonadati; Pseudomonadota; Gammaproteobacteria; Enterobacterales; Enterobacteriaceae. The record is from RNAcentral.
GCCCAGAUGGGAUUAGCUUGUUGGUGAGGUAACGGCUCACCAAGGCGACGAUCCCUAGCUGGUCUGAGAGGAUGACCAGCCACACUGGAACUGAGACACGGUCCAGACUCCUACGGGAGGCAGCAGUGGGGAAUAUUGCACAAUGGGCGCAAGCCUGAUGCAGCCAUGCCGCGUGUAUGAAGAAGGCCUUCGGGUUGUAAAGUACUUUCAGCGGGGAGGAAGGUGUUGUGGUUAAUAACCGCAGCAAUUGACGUUACCCGCAGAAGAAGCACCGGCUAACUCCGUGCCAGCAGCCGCGGUAAUACGGAGGGUGCAAGCGUUAAUCGGAAUUACUGGGCGUAAAGCGCACGCAGGCGGUCUGUCAAGUCGGAUGUGAAAUCCCCGGGCUCAACCUGGGAACUGCAUUCGAAACUGGCAGGCUUGAGUCUUGUAGAGGGGGGUAGAAUUCCAGGUGUAGCGGUGAAAUGCGUAGAGAUCUGGAGGAAUACCGGUGGCGAAGGCGGCCCCCUGGACAAAGACUGACGCUCAGGUGCGAAAG